CCCUUGUAGCUCAACUGGUUAGAGCACGGUGCUUAUAGUUUGCUGCGAAACUAUGAUCUGAGCAACGCCGUGGUUCGCGGUUCGAUCCCGCUGGGUAAGGGA
This is a non-coding RNA of Hyaloraphidium curvatum, 102 nucleotides long. The record is from the annotation of a GenBank genome assembly. Lineage: Eukaryota; Fungi; Monoblepharomycota; Hyaloraphidiomycetes; Hyaloraphidiales; Hyaloraphidiaceae.